CGAGGCGUAGCGCAGGCUGGUAGCGCACUUGGUUUGGGACCAAGGGGUCGCAGGUUCGAAUCCUGUCGCCUCGACCA
Molecule: transfer RNA, 77 nt
Filed under: Deinococcus humi
Lineage: Bacteria; Thermotogati; Deinococcota; Deinococci; Deinococcales; Deinococcaceae
Also listed under: 5 other names
Description: tRNA-Pro
Rfam family: tRNA
About the family: Transfer RNA (tRNA) molecules are approximately 80 nucleotides in length. Their secondary structure includes four short double-helical elements and three loops (D, anti-codon, and T loops).
Source: RNAcentral